ACUUGCAAUAAUAUAUUCAAAUACUCUUAUGAGUCACCCUAUAAAGCACCAAUACUCCCACUAAUGCUCCUACCAAGUGUUCACCAGCAACUGUCACUGUUUACAGUUCUUCAAUUCCCAUCUUUAACAACAUUUAUAACUCACUAUUCCAACCUCAAAAACACCUGCUGGGUCAUACUUGCAAUCAAGUUCACGAACCUUGGUCAAAUUGACGGAAAACUUGGCAAGGGUCUUAUCCAGUGUAUCGCAACGGAGACCGGUGCGUACUCAGGAUCUUUCGUCAUCGUCUCGAGGUAAACGACACACUGUCAAAGAAAGAGCAGUGGCGAUUCGCGUGGGCUACCGCCAGAGAACUAAGAGCGUCUGAGGCACACCUGAAUCCCAACAGCAUCGGUCACUACCUUACUACAGCGCGGAACAACCUCUAUAGUGGCGUCGUUGUGUAUAUUGUGACGCGUAUACUGGGUGACACAAAAAAUAUAAUGAAAAAAUAGAUUGUGAUGUCCAUGAAAAAAGGCGAUAACAAUAAUAUAAUCGUCAGUGAAGAUUAAUCAGAAUUUAAUCAUGCCUACCUCUAGACUAAUAGAUAAUAGAGGAUGAAGACAAUUGUUUUGAUCGAAUUGGGAUUUUAAUGUGACUGGAAUUAAAUUAUAAUAAGUAUAUAGAAUUAUAGCAGUAAGUACAUAAAUAUUGUGUAUACUGUAAUAUUAAUUAAAUGCAAUUAUUUUUUAUCUUAAAAUAGAAUAUUAAUUUUUCAGGCAAGAAUAUAUAUGUUUUUAAUUAUAAAAUAAGAAAUAUGAAUCAUUUUAAUGAGACUAAUUCAUAUUUGGAUUAAAUGUUAUAUACAAAAUUAGAUUUUUUAAUAUGUAAGUAAAACAUGUGUAUACAUGAUUGAUCAAUAUAAACAAUUUUUGUGAAAAUGAAAAUGAAAAGAAGAAAAAAUUGUCUCAUUUGCAAUUGAAUAAUAUAAAUAUUUAUGAAUUUUAAAUAUUUGGAUUACUAUAGAUCGAUGUGAAGCUCACUAUUGAAAUGGCAGCGAUUAUGCAGAAUUUGCGACACCUUGUAUAAGCGUCGCAGGUGAGCGGACUAUGGAGCGAAACAGAGAAGUUGUUAUACUAUUAUUUCUAUGCUGUUUUCCUGAGCACCGCUUCGCUUCGUCUCACCUGCUUGCUUACUUGCUUCUCCUGCGCUCAACCUUGCCUCUCAGGGUGUUAAUAUGAUGCUCGGGUCCCUCCAGAUUGGAUGGAUAUCUCACGCCGUGAAACAUACGAUUUGCAUUCAACUCGGAUCCCCUGCUCGUGGCUUG
Long non-coding RNA from Apis mellifera (honey bee), 1306 nucleotides. RefSeq lists it as uncharacterized. Lineage: Eukaryota; Metazoa; Arthropoda; Insecta; Hymenoptera; Apidae. The record is from RefSeq and is a predicted model, not a curated record. The transcript is spliced from 4 exons.